GCGCAAUUAGCUCAGCUGGAUAGAGCGUUGGCCUCCGGAGCCAAAGGUCACAAGUUCGAAUCUUGUAUUGCGCGCCA
RNAcentral lists this transfer RNA (77 nucleotides) under Desulfuromonadaceae bacterium. RNAcentral's name for it is "tRNA-Arg". It matches the Rfam family "tRNA". Rfam says of the family: Transfer RNA (tRNA) molecules are approximately 80 nucleotides in length. Lineage: Bacteria; Pseudomonadati; Thermodesulfobacteriota; Desulfuromonadia; Desulfuromonadales; Desulfuromonadaceae. The record is from RNAcentral.